RNAcentral lists this long non-coding RNA (327 nucleotides) under Brassica napus (rape). RNAcentral's name for it is "long non-coding RNA (BNAP_LNC022396)". The record is from RNAcentral. Lineage: Eukaryota; Viridiplantae; Streptophyta; Magnoliopsida; Brassicales; Brassicaceae.
UAGAGAGAGGAAGCUUUACACUAACAACUCAAGCUCAGAGUGGUAUCCUUGGAGGUCAGGUAAGUGGAGCAAUGUCCCUUUCCAUCAUCCCGCGACGUUCGAGACUUUGGCUAUGGAUCCUGAGAAGAAAGAAAGGAUCAAGAAGGAUCUGAUAAAGUUUAGCAAAGGGAAAGAUUAUUACAAGAAGGUUGGGAAGCCAUGGAAGAGAGGCUACCUCUUGUUCGGUCCCCCCGGGACAGGGAAAUCGACGAUGAUAUCCGCGAUAGCGAACUUCUUGGACUAUGAUGUGUAUGAUCUUGAGCUAACCACCGUGAAGGACAACUCAGA